AUCCCACAGAGAAUAGCUUGGCCAACAAGCAAGAGAAAUUACUAGACUUUUAGUGCAAGUCUCGUAGGAAAGGGGGGAUUGUAGUAUGUAACCCAAAACAAGAAUGUAAGAACUGAAAAUAGCAAAAUAAAGAGAGAUUGUCACGUGUGUUGUAAACAAUGAGAAUUGGGGCGUUGGGGUUAUGUCCACCUUCUGAGGUAUACGUCUCUAUUGGCUAUGAGUGUGUAGAGUCUUGACAUGUAAUUGCUUAUAGAGAAUUGUAGUCGAUGGUAAAUCCAAGCGUCUCUCGACCUAAACAAGGACUAUUUCACUUUAACUCUCUCGAGCUUAAAGCGUGACUAACGGUACGAAUUCUCCAAGAAGUUAGUCCAGGUACGGCACUAGCUUUUUAAUAGGAAAGGGUGUC
This 406-nucleotide long non-coding RNA is filed under the name Capsicum annuum. RNAcentral's name for it is "long non-coding RNA (CANN_LNC014594)". Lineage: Eukaryota; Viridiplantae; Streptophyta; Magnoliopsida; Solanales; Solanaceae. The record is from RNAcentral.